UUAAGCGACUAAGCGUACACGGUGGAUGCCCUGGCAGUCAGAGGCGAUGAAGGACGUGCUAAUCUGCGAUAAGCGUCGGUAAGGUGAUAUGAACCGUUAUAACCGGCGAUUUCCGAAUGGGGAAACCCAGUGUGUUUCGACACACUAUCAUUAACUGAAUCCAUAGGUUAAUGAGGCGAACCGGGGGAACUGAAACAUCUAAGUACCCCGAGGAAAAGAAAUCAACCGAGAUUCCCCCAGUAGCGGCGAGCGAACGGGGAGCAGCCCAGAGCCUGAAUCAGUAUGUGUGUUAGUGGAAGCGUCUGGAAAGGCGCGCGAUACAGGGUGACAGCCCCGUACACAAAAAUGCACAUGCUGUGAGCUCGAUGAGUAGGGCGGGACACGUGGUAUCCUGUCUGAAUAUGGGGGGACCAUCCUCCAAGGCUAAAUACUCUGACUGACCGAUAGUGAACCAGUACCGUGAGGGAAAGGCGAAAAGAACCCCGGCGAGGGGAGUGAAAAAGAACCUGAAACCGUGUACGUACAAGCAGUGGGAGCACGCUUAGGCGUGUGACUGCGUACCUUUUGUAUAAUGGGUCAGCGACUUAUAUUCUGUAGACAAGGUUAACCGAAUAGGGGAGCCGAAGGGAAACCGAGUCUUAACUGGGCGUUAAGUUGCAGGGUAUAGACCCGAAACCCGGUGAUCUAGCCAUGGGCAGGUUGAAGGUUGGGUAACACUAACUGGAGGACCGAACCGACUAAUGUUGAAAAAUUAGCGGAUGACUUGUGGCUGGGGGUGAAAGGCCAAUCAAACCGGGAGAUAGCUGGUUCUCCCCGAAAGCUAUUUAGGUAGCGCCUCGUGAAUUCAUCUCCGGGGGUAGAGCACUGUUUCGGCAAGGGGGUCAUCCCGACUUACCAACCCGAUGCAAACUGCGAAUACCGGAGAAUGUUAUCACGGGAGACACACGGCGGGUGCUAACGUCCGUCGUGAAGAGGGAAACAACCCAGACCGCCAGCUAAGGUCCCAAAGUCAUGGUUAAGUGGGAAACGAUGUGGGAAGGCCCAGACAGCCAGGAUGUUGGCUUAGAAGCAGCCAUCAUUUAAAGAAAGCGUAAUAGCUCACUGGUCGAGUCGGCCUGCGCGGAAGAUGUAACGGGGCUAAACCAUGCACCGAAGCUGCGGCAGCGACGCUGAUGCGUUGUUGGGUAGGGGAGCGUUCUGUAAGCCUGUGAAGGUGUGCUGUGAGGCAUGCUGGAGGUAUCAGAAGUGCGAAUGCUGACAUAAGUAACGAUAAAGCGGGUGAAAAGCCCGCUCGCCGGAAGACCAAGGGUUCCUGUCCAACGUUAAUCGGGGCAGGGUGAGUCGACCCCUAAGGCGAGGCCGAAAGGCGUAGUCGAUGGGAAACAGGUUAAUAUUCCUGUACUUGGUGUUACUGCGAAGGGGGACGGAGAAGGCUAUGUUGGCCGGGCGACGGUUGUCCCGGUUUAACGCGUGUAGGCUGGUUUUCCUAGGCAAAUCCGGAAAAUACAAGGCUGAGGCGUGAUGACGAGGCACUACGGUGCUGAAGCAACAAAUGCCCUGCUUCCAGGAAAAGCCUCUAAGCAUCAGGUAACAUCAAAUCGUACCCCAAACCGACACAGGUGGUCAGGUAGAGAAUACCAAGGCGCUUGAGAGAACUCGGGUGAAGGAACUAGGCAAAAUGGUGCCGUAACUUCGGGAGAAGGCACGCUGAUAUGUAGGUGAAGUCCCUCGCGGAUGGAGCUGAAAUCAGUCGAAGAUACCAGCUGGCUGCAACUGUUUAUUAAAAACACAGCACUGUGCAAACACGAAAGUGGACGUAUACGGUGUGACGCCUGCCCGGUGCCGGAAGGUUAAUUGAUGGGGUCAGCGCAAGCGAAGCUCUUGAUCGAAGCCCCGGUAAACGGCGGCCGUAACUAUAACGGUCCUAAGGUAGCGAAAUUCCUUGUCGGGUAAGUUCCGACCUGCACGAAUGGCGUAAUGAUGGCCAGGCUGUCUCCACCCGAGACUCAGUGAAAUUGAACUCGCUGUGAAGAUGCAGUGUACCCGCGGCAAGACGGAAAGACCCCGUGAACCUUUACUAUAGCUUGACACUGAACAUUGAGCCUUGAUGUGUAGGAUAGGUGGGAGGCUUUGAAGUGUGGACGCCAGUCUGCAUGGAGCCGACCUUGAAAUACCACCCUUUAAUGUUUGAUGUUCUAACGUUGACCCGUAAUC
RNAcentral lists this ribosomal RNA (2214 nucleotides) under Escherichia coli DEC10F. RNAcentral's name for it is "bacterial LSU rRNA". It matches the Rfam family "Bacterial large subunit ribosomal RNA", at positions 1 to 2240 of the family's 2925-position model. The record is from RNAcentral. Lineage: Bacteria; Pseudomonadati; Pseudomonadota; Gammaproteobacteria; Enterobacterales; Enterobacteriaceae.